AAAAAUCUAAAAAUAGGAACCGGAAGUUAAAAAAAUAAAAAAAAUAAAAAUGAAUUUCAUUUACAUUUUUCGCCAUUUCAUACCGAUUUCGGCUUCUUAGAGAUCUGAUCUGAAAUGCUGAACUUUGACAUAGAUAUUUGAUGCUGUGUGGGUGCUACACAAAUUAUAAACCCUGUAGACUUGCACACAUAAACAGAAAAUGUUACCACAGAGACGCAGUCGUGGACAAGGAAUGGGGUUGAUGCUCCUGGCAUUGCAACUGCUCAGUGUUGGCUUCGACAAAAUCCCUCCAACUACUUUAUCUACAAUACUGGCCAAUGUUGCUAUAUAUCUCAAAUUGUUCAGAAUACCGUGGCUGCCAACAUCAUUGGGAGGAGUAUGUGUCAGCAUAGUGAAUGUAUGGUACCGUCAGGAGUGGAUGCGUGUUCUUUUAGCUGCCUUUUACCAUGCAGAUGACUGGCAUUUAUAUUAUAAUAUGGUUUCAUUUCUCUGGAAAGGACUGACACUUGAACGGAAGCUUGGAAGUGGAUAUUUUCUGUAUGUAAUACUUGUAUUUUCUAUACUAGUCAACGGCACUUUACUUGGGCUGAAUGUGCUACUAGAGUACCUCCUCCAAGACCCAAGUUACGCAGGCUCCUGUGCUGUUGGAUUUUCAGGAGUAGUGUUUGCGUUGAAGGUGUUGAGCACACAUUUUCUUCCCCCAGGCACACAGCUUAUCAUGGGAUUUAUUCCUGUACCAUCCAGGAUUGCAUGCUGGGUAGAAUUAGUCGUCAUUCAGCUGCUCGUCCCAAAUGCAUCUUUUACUGGUCAUUUGGCAGGAAUACUUGUUGGACUAGCAUUUGUUAAAGGCCCAUUGAGAGCAAUCAUGGAUUUCUUUGUACCUACAGGUAGAGGUCAUUUAUUCAGAUCUUAUACAUAUCAUACCGGGUCAACUGGUCACAGUGGCAACACAACUGGUCGUACAGGCAACACAUCUGGUCACCAUGGCAACACAAACAAUUACUACAGCAACACUACUGGUAAUUCAAACAACAGAAAUCAAAACCAUAGCAACCCAUACUCUGACUUAACAGGUGGAUUAAGUGAAGAGGCUCAGAUACAGGAGGCAAUAAGACGUAGUCAAGGUAACGAAGAUAGAGGCACUGACCAUAGUUACAAUGAGUCUGUGCGUCGCGAAAGGCAACAACAAACAAGUGAUGAUCAGUCUGGAUUAAGUGAUGAGGAACAAAUGGCUGAAGCAAUAAGACGAAGUAGAAAUGAAGUAUCAGCUGGUGCAGAUAACACAGGAGGUGUUCACCUCUACCCAACAUUGCCAUCUGAGAUUGUCCCUCCUCCACAGCCUUCUGGAAUUGCCCCUCCUCCCCCUGAGCCUUCUGCUCCAUCUAAAACUCCACCAGAAGUACGGAAACGAUUAAAUGCAGAGGAACUGAGGUCAAGACGUUUAAAACGAUUUGAACCAAGAUUUGCGGAAAAUCGUAAACACUAAUUCAAUGAUGUGUGGAAAAGCAGAGUGGCUAUAAUGUGCAAUGAUACCAAAACUUAAACCAAAUUUUAUCUCUCAUGAACUCAUUGUUCCUAUUGACCACGAGAUUUCAUGGAAUUCCUCUGUCAGUUACACUCCUCUCACUCCCCACCCCAUUGAUCCCAAAGUUUUUGAGAAAGUUUCUUUUUUGUGGGGACUAAGAGUGAUUAUUUAGUUCAUGGCAUUAUAGAACUGUAGAACUGCAUUACAUUACUCAUAUUUUCUGUUUAAAAUGGGAAGCAUUUUUAUGAGUUAAAAAAUGCGAAUGAAAUAGAUGCCAAUAUCCCCAGAAGGCAGAAAUACAUCCUUUGAAA
Molecule: unclassified non-coding RNA, 1836 nt
Filed under: Owenia fusiformis
Lineage: Eukaryota; Metazoa; Annelida; Polychaeta; Sabellida; Oweniidae
Description: peptidase S54 rhomboid domain-containing protein
Source: RNAcentral